Molecule: small nuclear RNA, 116 nt
Filed under: Leersia perrieri
Lineage: Eukaryota; Viridiplantae; Streptophyta; Magnoliopsida; Poales; Poaceae
Description: snRNA U5
Rfam family: U5 spliceosomal RNA
About the family: U5 RNA is a component of both types of known spliceosome.
Source: Rfam by way of RNAcentral
UGGUGACUGGUGAGCACAAAGCGAACUAUUCUUUCGCCUUUUACUAAAGAAUACCGUGUGCGCGCCACAAAUAGCAGCAUACUCUAAUUGGAGGUUGUUUUCUCUUUAAGAGAGAA